Long non-coding RNA from Drosophila arizonae, 310 nucleotides. Lineage: Eukaryota; Metazoa; Arthropoda; Insecta; Diptera; Drosophilidae. The record is from RefSeq and is a predicted model, not a curated record.
AAUUUAAUUAUUUAUUUAUUACUUUUCAGAAAAAAUGGCGACUACUUCAAACAAUAGUGUUGCUGACAUGACAACAAUAAGCGAAAUAGACGAAGAUGGAAUAAACUAUAAUUUAAGACUUCGAUAUUCUAAAGAUAUAAUAUAUACAUACUCUGGAACGAUAUUAAUCGCAGUAAAUCCAUACAAAUGUAUUAAUAUUUUUAAUAAGGAUUAUGUUCAGCAAUACCACAUGGCCAAAAUGGGUUCAUUAGAUCCCCAUGUUUUUGCAUUAGCUGAAGCUGCCUAUAGAAGCAUUGUUGAAGAAAAAAUU